This 329-nucleotide ribosomal RNA is filed under the name uncultured eukaryote. Its description in RNAcentral is "partial 18S ribosomal RNA". It matches the Rfam family "Eukaryotic small subunit ribosomal RNA", at positions 1470 to 1796 of the family's 1831-position model. The record is from RNAcentral.
CCCUUAGAUGUCCUGGGCCGCACGCGCGCUACACUGAGUGUCUGAGAUACGAGUCUGCCUGGUCCGGCAAGGUCUAGGUAAUCGCUAAAAGACACAUCAUGCUUGGGAUAGAUUAUUGCAAAUAUUAAUCUUGAACGAGGAAUUCCUAGUAAGCGCAAGUCAACAGCUUGCGUUGAUUGCGUCCCUGCCCUUUGUACACACCGCCCGUCGCUACUACUGAUUGGAUGUCUAAGCGAGGUUCUCGAACUGCUAGCGACUUAGCUUCGGUGAGGUCGCAGUGUGGGAAGUGAACCUAGCUUUGGUGUCUAGAGGAAGUAAAAGUCGUAACA